ACGGAAUUGGUGGUUUCUAACCUGUUCCGUCACGAAAACCAAGUAGAAACUAAGCAUGUAGAAAGCUCAUUAGUUCCACGUUUGGACGAGGGUUCAAACCCCUCCAGCUCCACUU
Molecule: transfer-messenger RNA, 115 nt
Filed under: Duncaniella sp.
Lineage: Bacteria; Pseudomonadati; Bacteroidota; Bacteroidia; Bacteroidales; Muribaculaceae
Description: partial transfer-messenger RNA
Rfam family: transfer-messenger RNA
About the family: Bacterial tmRNA, also known as 10Sa RNA or SsrA, is named for its dual tRNA and mRNA-like properties. Its role is to liberate the mRNA from a stalled ribosome.
Source: RNAcentral